Molecule: ribosomal RNA, 440 nt
Filed under: uncultured bacterium
Lineage: Bacteria
Description: partial 16S ribosomal RNA
Rfam family: Bacterial small subunit ribosomal RNA
Source: RNAcentral
CCUACGGGAGGCAGCAGUGGGGAAUAUUGCACAAUGGGGGAAACCCUGAUGCAGCGACGCCGCGUGAGUGAAGAAGUAAUUCGUUAUGUAAAGCUCUAUCAGCAGGGAAGAAAAUGACGGUACCUGAGUAAGAAGCCCCGGCUAACUACGUGCCAGCAGCCGCGGUAAUACGUAGGGGGCCAGCGUUAUCCGGAUUUACUGGGUGGAAAGGGAGCGUAGACGGCAGUGCAAGUCUGGAGUGAAAGGCGGGGGCUCAACCCCCGGACUGCUCUGGAAACUGUACGGCUGGAGUGCAGGAGAGGUAAGUGGAAUUCCUAGUGUAGCGGUGAAAUGCGUAGAUAUUAGGAGGAACACCAGUGGCGAAGGCGGCUUACUGGACUGUAACUGACGUUGAGGCUCGAAAGCGUGGGGAGCAAACAGGAUUAGAUACCCCAGUAGUC